RNAcentral lists this long non-coding RNA (643 nucleotides) under Trifolium pratense (red clover). RNAcentral's name for it is "long non-coding RNA (TPRA_LNC004070)". Lineage: Eukaryota; Viridiplantae; Streptophyta; Magnoliopsida; Fabales; Fabaceae. The record is from RNAcentral.
UUAAUCUUGACAACAAGAGUUGUUCAAAUGCCACUGUAGGUUUGAAAAACUAGUGUUUUUCAUUUUUUUAAUUAAUUAAUCUUUUUAUAUAUUUUGUUAGAUAAAUGUUGUUAGUGGUUGUUGAUUUAACUAGGGAAGGUAUUAUCUAGGAAAAGUAAUUUUUAGCUUUGUCAUUUAAUAGGGAAGGUAAUUCUGCAACACAAACUUUACCCCCAAGUUUCAAAUUCCUUUGUCUAUAAAUAGCAAAGGAUUGGUGCAUCAAAAAUACAAUACUAUUUCCUUUCAUUUUUUAUCCUUUCUCUUUUCUUCAACACAAGAGAACCCAUCUUCAUUUCCUUUUUGUUAUUGACUUCUGUUUUACAUUGAAUUCUUGAGGAUUGAUUUCUUGAACCUGAAAAGAAAAAACUCAUUUGAUUAGAUCUCAUCCAUAAUCAAUAUUUAAGUGAGGCAUGAAUAUAUGAACAAAAAUUGAGGCCAUGAACUAUUUCUAUAUGCAAUUUAUUAGUUACUUUGUUUGCAACUUACAUUUUAUUAUUGAUUGGUCUUUUUUAUAGGUGACACUCACUUCUAUCAAGGAUCUUGUGUCUGUGUUUCAAAGGUAAAUAUAUGUUUUUCGAAGAUCUCAUUUCUUUCAUGAAUUGUC